UACGGACGGGGCAAGCGUUGUUCGGAAUCAUUGGGCGUAAAGGGCGUGUAGGUGGUUCUGUAUGUCUACCGUGAAAGCGUACGGCUCAACCGUAUUUAGUCGGUAGAAACUGCAGGACUUGAGGCUGGGAGGGGCUGGUGGAAUUCCUGGUGUAGGAGUGAAAUCCGUAGAUAUCAGGAGGAACAUCGGCGGCGAAGGCGGCCAACUGGUGAUGCAUUGACGCUGAGGUGCGAAAGCGUGGGGAGCAAACAGG
RNAcentral lists this ribosomal RNA (253 nucleotides) under uncultured bacterium. RNAcentral describes it as "partial 16S ribosomal RNA". It matches the Rfam family "Bacterial small subunit ribosomal RNA", at positions 524 to 776 of the family's 1533-position model. The record is from RNAcentral.